RNAcentral lists this ribosomal RNA (321 nucleotides) under uncultured bacterium. RNAcentral's name for it is "bacterial SSU rRNA". It matches the Rfam family "Bacterial small subunit ribosomal RNA", at positions 28 to 348 of the family's 1533-position model. The record is from RNAcentral.
GACGAACGCUGGCGGCGUGCUUAACACAUGCAAGUCGAGCGGUAAGGCCCUUUCGGGGGUACGACGAGCGGCGAACGGGUGAGUAACACGUGGGUGACCUGCCCUCAGCUCUGGGAUAAGCCUGGGAAACCGGGUCUAAUACCGGAUAUGACUCCAUGACGCAUGUUGUGGGGUGGAAAGCCUUGUGCGGCUGAGGAUGGGCCCGGCGGCCUAUCAGCUUGUUGGUGGGGUGAUGGCCUACCAAGGCGACGACGGGUAGCCGGCCUGAGAGGGCGACCGGCCACACUGGGACUGAGACACGGCCCAGACUCCUACAGGAGG